UAUAGUUUUCCUUUGAAUAACGUAGUUCAAGAAACUUACUGAUUCUUAUGUAAUCUUACAGCAGUUAAGAUUCUCAAGUGUAGAUUCAUUAUUUAAUUCUCGAAUUAGUAUAUGUUCAUUCCCUUAGUUUAUCUGCUCAAACCCCAAGAAAAGUUACUAUUUUCCUUUUGAGAGGCACACUUCCCAAUAUGCCUCCCAUAAGAUAUUUAUGGGCUUCAACCCAUCAUGCAAAAAACGGGAAUCGUAUGGUUCGUGAAGAUAUAAACUAGAGUGAGGGUAUAACUCUCCACCGAUGUAUGUCAAAGAUGAUGGGUCUUUUUUUUAAAAUAUAAGAUAAAGUAUAGAUAGAAAAGGAUUAGUAAUUAGGAUCUGAAGUAAAGGGAAGGUUAAGAACAUGAAAGUUUGAUCAAAUCAUAAUAGAAUCUAUUGUAAAUGGAAUGAAAUUCCUUUAAUAGCCUUUAAAGAACAAAACACAGUCGUCCAUAAAGAAAUUGAGAUGAUUAUUAUGGGAAUCCCUUUUUCAUUUUUCAAAUUUAUUAAAUUACAAUUACGACUAAAGAAUAUAUUAUAAGAAUUAAAAUAUCGUUUUUUAUUUUAUUUAAUUAUUAAUUCUUUUCAAAUGUUUAUUCUUGAAAAAAAGUAAAAACUUUAAAUUAAAAUAAAAAAUAGAUUACCCAUCAAAUUUCAGUAUUUUUACACUUUCAACUUUCAAAACAAAAUCCAAGACAAUUGCUAAUUUCAUAAAAAAAUUAGUCAUUUAUACUCUUUUUGUAAUGAGUAAUAAAGAUAGAAUGAUCAACAAACACACUUAGAUUAACACACCCUUAAUGACUUCAUUAUAUGAUGCUGCACUAUUCGGUGAACUAAUAAAUGAGUAUAAAUGGAUUUCUAAGUUAAAUGUUGGGAUAGUUUAACGAGAUCGUUUUUUGGUGCAUAUAUUUAUCGACCUGUUUAAUGAAACAGAUGUAUUUUGUUAAAAAAAGAGUUUAUUGGAUUUUUAAAAUCUUUUUUUCUUCAAGCUAUUUUGAUUAGAAAAUUGAGGGAGGUUAAAUUUUAAGUUGUUGUUUCUUUUUCUAUAAUAUUAUAUUUAAUUUAUCGAUUAUGACUGCAUGUUCCGAAAAAACGAUCUCCCAAGUAUCAAUCAAUGUUUUAGCCCAUUUUUUCUUUUAUAAUUAACUAUUAACAUUGCCUAUAUUAUGCCUCAAAUUCUUUGCCAUGUUAUUAGUGUUUUUCAAAAUAACUCAUUUCUAAAAUUAAACACUUGAAAAUUUUAAUGGAACAUUUAUUUUAAUAACUUUUGGAUAUUCAAAAUAUCGUCAGUCGAUGCUAGGUUGACACGUACAUAACCACUCUGUUUAUGCCGACAUCCAAAAGAAAAUUAUAUACAUAUGCUUAUAUUCUGAGAUUAAUUCCUUAUGUUUAUAUUCUCCAUCCUCCCAAGUGGUAUUAGGAAAAGUUUGAUGCCAUCUACUUUAGGUUCUGGUGCUACAUAUAGUAUUUUCCUUUGAAUGAAAUAUGUGAACACAAGAAAAUAAAAGAAGGUAUUAUUAGAUUUUCGUUGACAUCAUACAAAAGAAAAUUAUAAUAGAAUGUGUUGACAUUUCAUGAUCACUAUAUAUUGUGUUGACACGUAAAUGUGAGAUUCACCGAUAUUUUUAUUUACAUCGAUAUAUUUUACACCUAUAUCGCAAGAGAACCUUGCAGACACUCGAAUUUUCAUUGUUGAUCCAAAUUGUAAACCUUGCAAAAGGUAUUUUGGAUACUUUAUUCCGAGUUGAUAGAGAUGCUCACAAAAAGACACAUUAUUUCUUCUACGGCAGAAAUGCAUGAAGUAAACUUUGGUAAAUAAAAACUCCCUCAAAGCAUCAAUUCCAUUUGAGAUGAUGUGUAAUAGAUAUCAUCUCAAAGAGCAAAAAGAAAAAAGAAAAAAAAAAAAAACCAUCUCCUUGUGUUAGGGUUUUUGUCUUUUACAUACCAACUCUAUAUAAAGACUCCUUCCCCAUAGAGAAAAAUCUAAGGCAAACAAAAACUAUAUUAUCAUCAACACAAAGAUAUAUUAUUAGAGCUUACGUUCUUGAAUAUCAUUGAAAUGGCAAUGUCAAGGUCUCAACUGAAGUUGACUAGGGAUGAGGUUAGGGAGAUCUUAGAAGAGCAUGACGUGGACGGUGAUGGUAGCCUGACGAAGCAAGAGGUGAUGCAAGCCCUGAACUCCAUGGGUUCUAUGAUGUCCUUUCAGAAAGCUCACUAUGGUGUUUCUCAUGCUGACAAAGAUGGGGAUGGUAAAGUCGAUCUAGGAGAAGCAGAGAUGGAGAAUCUUAUUGACUAUGUCAUGAGGUUUCAGACCCCAAGGGCCCCAAAGACCCCAAAGGUCCCUAAGGUGCCAGCCCAAAAGCCUUGCCAUGAUGGUAAAUCAAUUGUGUAAUAAUCUUAGCUUAUUUCUAUUUAUUAUGUGUCCGUCUUCAGUCUUCGUCUACGUCUUCAUCUUGUUUUUCAGUCCAUAUAGUUUAUGUUACAAAUUGAGCCAUGGCUGUGCUCAAAUUGGCAAUUAUCCACGUAUGUUCGUUAUCUGCAGUAUUGUGUGUCACUGGUAAUAAAAUUAUCUUCUUGUUGUAUCCAUAAAUUAUUAUAUAAUAAACAUUCCUAAACUAUUAAAAAUGUCAGAUUUUCAAUUUCAUUUCAUGCCAUCGUGUGAUUUAUUAUUUAACUUUGCACUAUGUAAAUAUAAACUAAGAUCUUUUAUAAAUAUUUACAAGUAACAUAAAGUUUAAUACAUAGUAGAAUGUUUUGAAUGUAUUAUUUAGCAUUUCUAACACCCAAAAUCUAAGUGGUAUUCAAUAUUUAUUCUAUCUAUGUGAUUUAUGAUUGACUCUUAACCUUAGAAGUACUUUUAUAGUUUAACAGCUUUUAUCUGAUAAGAAAACUUGCUCUCUCCAUCGAUUAGUGUACAUCUAACUCAUGAUUAAUCAAGUAUUUAAUUGUAUCAAUGUUUACUGGUUUUUUGUUGCCCAUUUUUUCUUAACACUGUAGCUAUAAAAUUGUAUUUGCUAACUGACAAAAUUACAUGACCCAAAUAUACUAGAAAUGUUGUAAAUAAUUAACGCCAUAAUGAACCAAAUAAAAGUGUAAAGAGAGUAUACAAAAGGCAAAACACACCAUAUGAACAUUCUCAUGUAAGGAUACAAAUGUAUAUAUAAAAUGGGGCCAUUCGUUUUAUAAUAGCAGAAAGCAGUAAUUAGAAUCGAUGAUAUAUAAAAGGAAAAAGAGAUUCAUUGGACGACAUUUAAUUAAGACAAAUCAAAUAAGCCUACCAUCAUAAUUUUCUUAAAAAAUCUGUUACAUUUUUUUGAAUGGAAUACUAGUAGACCAGGGUCAUUAAUGCACCCAACGACUCAUCCAAGAUCGUUUGCCAUAGCAGCUGCAUCAGUCAUCACACUCCAGCCCAGCCCCCAUGUUGUUUACUUUUGUAUAAAAUGGUAAUCAAAUAUAGAUGUUUAUUGAAAUGUCAAUCUGUUUAAUUAAAAUACAGUAACUAAUGAAUAUGUAAUAAAGAUACUAUCCAGCCCUGCCUGUACUACUUUUCUUGGUAAUAAAAUUCUGGCGUUAGGGCUUUGCCCACUCACCUUGUUUCCUCUUAAAAAAUGAAUAUCUAAUAAGAAUUAAAAUAACCUUUUCUAAUUUUAUUCUUUAUUAACUGUCAUUUACAGCUUGUUCAAACAUUAACACUUAAAAGAUUUAAAAUUAAAAUAUGGUUUGACUUAAACUCACCCAUCUAAAUUCCAAAACAUCUUAAAGUGAAAACAUUAAUAAACUUAAAUUAAUAUCUCAUCUUCUUUUAUUUUUUGUAACCAAAGGAUGAUAUAUGCAUACAGAAAUAUGUAUUAUUGUACGUGAUAGACCACCAAAUAUUUGCUGAAUAUCUUUAUCCCCAUCGACUGGACAUUUCUAUAACUUUUGAAAAACGAUUCUUCUGUUUUGGUAGGGUUUUGUUUUUCUUUUCUUUUCUUUUCCUUUUGACAAAAAUGAUAAUAACUUGGAUUUUUGACAUUUUAUGGUUGAGUUUCAGUUUUCUUUUACAAGUCUAAAUCGUGGCUAGCUUAAGAAAUAUUUCUACAAUUCAAUUUACACUUAUAUCAUACAUUUUAAUUUUGAAUAUUUUGCUACAUCAAAUUUGAGUAAUUACAUUUUAUUUGAAUAAAUACAUCAAUUAGAGAGAGGUUAGAAAUUGCAUCCAAAAGUCUCAAAUAUGACCUUAUUUUGUUCUUCUAAAAAGAAAGAAAAAAUAUUCGUGAAUAAAGUAUAAAAUUCCAAAAAGCUGAGAUUUAAUUUAGGAUUCUUUUCAAAAAUAGGAAAAAAAAUCACAAAUUUGUUCACUCCAUAUAAAAAAAUAUUAAAAAAAAUUCAUUACAUAAAUAAUAUUUAAAAAAUUGCAUAGGACAAUAUUUUGAGAAUAUGAUAUAGCAAUUAUAGAACACUGUUUUAGAAUUUUGCAAAUAUGACAAAUGUUUUACUUCUUCAUCUUAAAUUUGUUAUUAUUCUUAAACUAUCAUUUAAUAAUUUAUUUCUCUUCCUCUUUUUAAUGCCCUAUUCAUUAUAUAUUUAUUCUCUCACUUUUUAAGGCCCUAAUUAUUUGUUUAUUCUUAUACUAGAAAAAUUAUUUAUUCAUUAUUCUCUCACUUUUUAAGGUUCUAAUUAUUUGUUUAUUCUUAUACUAUAAAAAUUAUUUAUUCUUCAUGUGUUAAUCUUAAUUUUAAAAUAUCAAUAGUAUAAUAAUUGCAAUAUGAAAUAUAAUAUAAUGGUUGGUGAUCGGAGUAAUUAACUUCAUUUGUGAUUUCUUUUUUUACUUUCUUCGAUGUGUAUUUUAAGCUGAAUCUAAUUUCAAAUGAUUUUGUUUUAUUUUUUUACAUUAAUUUUUUGAUUUUACUUUGUCUCAGUUUCAUAUAUCAGUGUUAUGAUAUACUUAUAUUAUAUAUAUUAGUUAGUUAAUAUACUUACUAUGUAAUUUUUGUUUUCUGAAAAUUUUAUAUAGAUCAUUAGAGUAUUAUUAAGUAUAUGAAUUAUUUAACUUAGUGUAUCAUUAUCAAGUAUAUCAACAAUAUAUUGUUAAAACAUAUCAAUAAAGUGAAUCAUUAUCAAGCAUAUGAAUCAAAUUUACAAGUGUAUAUCAAUAGUAUAUCAAGUGUAUAAGUAUGACUUCAAGCAUAUCGAGUGCAUUUAAUCAAUCAAUUGUGUAGAUACCGUAUUUUGUCCUGCCUUUUUAUUUUUUUCAUUAAUUUAUUUAUUAUUUUUUUAAAAGAAUUUGAAUUUGAAUUUAAAUUUAAAUUAUAAAAUUUAAAUCUUAAUUUUUAAAUUUAUGUUUUAAAACAAAAACAAAAAUAAAAACAUAUUUAAAAUUAAAUUUAAAAGUAAAGAUUUUUUUUCUUCUCCCUAUUUUUCUCAACCUUCCCCUGUUUUCCUGAGUCACAACCCUCCCACUUUCUCCCAAUCUCUCACGUUCUCCCACUCUUCCAUCUUCUUCCCCAAUCUCUCACGUUCUCCCACUCUUCCACAUUUCUGUGUACUCCAUUUCACUAUCUAAACCUACUUCACUUCUAUCUAAAAAAAGGAGACAUUUCCCUAUAAAAAGAGAAUGAGAAGAUUCAAUGGGGGGAGAAUUUUUUUUGCUGGAGAAUUAUUUGGUAGAGAAGAGGGACACGUAAAAGAUUUUUUUUGGAAGAGGUGAGGAGGAUCAACCCAGAACAUUUUGCAUUUAAGGCAGACCUUGUAAGUUCUUUUUUUUAUUCACGUUUGAUAAUACUAGCUUGAUUAUUUGGCACCCAGUAAUUAUUUCGCACCCAUCUGGGUGCUGUCUUAAUUAUUCAUUUAAAUCACUCGUUAAUUAGCUGAUGCGUUAAUCAUUGGGCACUCAUUUCACAUCUUUUAAUUAUUUGCAUCAUUUGAAUUAUUUGGCACCCAUUUGACUCUUUGAUUGCUGACCUAAUACAGUGUAUCAGGUGUAUCAAACAUAUAUUAGUAAUGUUUCAGGUGUGUAUAAAAAAGUAUCGAGUAUAUCAAAGAGUAUCCGAGCAUCAAGUGUAUCAAUCAAAUGUAUCAAAAAGUAUAAGGUGUAUCAAAGAAUGUAUUAGGUGUAUCAGACGUGUAUAAGACGUGUAUAAGGUGUGUAUAAGGUGUAUCAAACGUAUAUUAGUAACGAGGACAUUUGUGACAUUUUACCUUUUGAUGUGUGGACUGGGUUUCGUUUUUGCCAUUUUCGCAAAUAAAAUGUGUGUGCUAUAGACUUAAUUGUUAUAACUUAUUUUGUCAUUUUUGCAAGUGCCCCUAAAUAUUUUGUCAAAUUUUCUAUUUUUGACAAUUUUCCAUAAAAAAUAAUAUUAAUUAACGUUUAAUAAAGUUCAAAUCUCUUCUCUUCUCGGAUUGGUCCAAAAUGGUGAAAUUAAAUAAAUAUUAAAAGAAAAUGAGAAAAAAAAGUGUCAAUAGAUAAUUGCAAAAUAUAUACUUUUGAUUGAUGAGAUUUGAAAUUAUUUUGUCUAUCCUAGUAUUUAAAAUUUGAAAAGAAACACUUGACAUCUCUAAAAAAAAAGUUUGACAAGCAAGCAAUGGAUCGAUCCAUAAUUUUUCUUAAGAGGGACUUAAGUUAAAUUAUUUUGCAAAAAUAUUAAAAUACAACUUAAGUUCAAGAAACUUUCAAUUUAAAUUUUGCCAUAAAAUUGAAAUGAUGUCUCAUGUGUUAUUAUAAACAUUCAAUUUUGUAUUUAGUAUACAAAACACAGGAUGAACUUUGAAUACCUAAAUCCACGCAAAAUUAAAAAAAUUAUUUUAAGUUCACACUUGAAUUAAAAUUUAGAGAAGACAUCUUCUUUCCUUUUGUGAUUAUUAUUAUUUUCUCAACAGAGAAAUUAGAAGUUGGGGUAUCGGACAAAGUUAGAAAGUUCAAAACGUUCAAAACGUUCUUUAUUCUCCAAAGCUUCCUAAUCAAGAUAAGAUGGAACCAAGAGGCUACGCUUUUUAAGGACCCUUCCCUUCCACUUUCUUCUCAACAGUUCUUCAAUCGAAGAAAAACGGCGAAGGUUGCGAAGUCGUCUAGGUUUCAUCUAAAAUGACUCGUCAAUUAUAUGACAAGAAGAAAUCAGGGUACAAGUUGCAAAAAGAAGAAAUGAAAGAAAUGUUUAGGGAGCAUGAUUUCAAUGGCGACGGUCGCUUGAGCAUUAAAGAAUUGUCGAGAGCAUUCGGCCAAUUUGGCGCAUUCUUCCCUCUCUACCGUGCAGCUUUUGGGUUGUUCCUUGCAGAUGAUGACGGCGAUGGAUUUAUCAGUGAGCAAGAACUAGAUAAAGUGGUAGAUUAUGCUAUUAAAUGUAAGUAUAACCUACUUUAGUUAUCUUUUCCAUCCUGCUGUGGAAGGUUCCCUAGUGAGUGUGAGUUGUUGAUGUAAAAAAAUAAUAUACAGAAAGGUAAUUUGUGUGUUCAAGAGAUACCUUCCCCUAUUAUUGUAAAAUGCCUUUCCUGAUGGCUGAUGCGAAGAUGAUGAUGAUAGCAUUUCCAAUAAAAAUAAAUUUUAUGCUUCAUUCUUGCUCUUGCAUGAUAUGAUAACAAUUUUCUAAAUAUAUGUAUAUUGUUACAAAAUAAUAGACGCACUUUAUUUUAACAAUGUACCAGGAUCUGUUAACCUAUUAAUCUCUUGUAUCCAAAAGUUUCAAAAACAAAUUACAAGCUGAUAUAAACAAUAAUGAUUACAAAGUAAUACAAAAAUGUCAGUGUUGAAGUUUGCAGCUUAAUUAAAACUUUACAAAUAUAUUGAUAGAUACACAUCGUACAGGAACGUCCACCAAUAUCAAAAGGUACGAAAAUCAAACUAAACUGACCAAUGUCCAAUUAUCUUCAAAAUCGAUCGGUUUGGUUCACUUUGGUGAUCUAAUUAAUUUUGUUCCCCGGCAUCUUGGCUUCGGUUUUAUUAACAUUUUUUUGUAUUCUCCAUUUGUUAUAUUGGCCAUCAAAUCUAGGAAGAGAAGAGGGUGAAAUAGAGUAGGAUGUUUAAUUUGGGAGAGAAAGAGGUUCAUGAAUCUUUGAACCAUAAACUUCGUCCUAUUUGGAUGUCAAGAUUCAUGUCUCAAAUAAGUAUUUGGUAAAUUAGAAUGGUGAACCGAAGAAAUAUCUUCUCGUAAAGGCUUGUUGAACAUAUAGCUUGCUCGCUGUAUAUGAUGUACUGAUUCAAUAUCUGAUCUAUGAAACAAAACAAACAUGGUGAACUUACAUUUCUUUUUUUAAACUUUAGAUACUGUUGUGUAUUUUCAUUUCUAAAACUUUGAGAAAAAAAACUAUUUACUUUCCUAAAGUAAAUAGUAAAAUAGUUUAAAUUAUGUGAAAAUAUUUACAAAACACACAAAAAUUUCAAAUUCUAUCCAGAAUAGAUAAUGAUUAACUUUUGUUGGUGUCUAUGUUGAGUGCAAUGUCUAUCAUUAAGAAAAUCUUAAAUCUAAACUUUUGGUGGCAACAAGCAACAAGCAACGUACAUCUUGAAUAUAAUUAUUACUCAAAUUAUUUUUCUUAACAAAAUAACUAAUGUUGUUAAACAUUGUUCAUGGUAAAGACGUAGAACCCUAAUUUGCCCACACAAACAACGAAUGCUCGAAUUCUAUUGUUAAUAAUUUAUCCUCAUAUGUGUGGGUUUUUCUCUAGUAUAUAAUAUUUCGGUAUACCUACUAAUCCAUUCUAGAAUAAUUUCUUGGUAAACAAAAAAAACUAUAAAUUAUAAAGGAAUGAAUAAAUUAGAAUAGACUAAAAAUAGAUUACUCAAUUUUUUAAAGUUAUUAUUCCAAUCUUAAAGCUUAAGUUCAACAGAUGAUGUCAAAACACUAUCUACGUCAAUCACUAUCUGAUUUGCCACUUUUGUUAAUAAUAUAAACUCAACUUUUCUAUUUUUGACAACUUUUCUAAAUUCUAAUUUUUAUAAUUAAACAAAACGUACAUACAAAAUAUAUAUUUACAAAUAAAAUUCUGAAGUGAAAUUCUAUUUUAAUUUAAAAGUAAUUGACAAAUUUUGUUAUAUUUUUUUAAAAAAAUAUUACUAUAUAUUUGAAAUGUGCUACUUGUUGCAUUUACCAUAUUUUUUAAUCUUUCACCAAUAAAUUUAAAAUCCUAAUUUAAUUAAUCUUCAUUCUCAUAAGAAUGAUAAUUGCAUAAGCAUAAUAAUUUAUUCUUUCACAUUAUUUCCAACUUCUAUACAAGUAUUUAUAAUUGAAAAUUAUUAAAAAUAACAAAAAUUGUUGAAAAUAUCUAUCUAAUAUAGUAAAAUUUUCCAUUCAUCGAUAAGGGUAGAUUUGAAAAAAUGAUAUCAAGUUAUAAUCUUAGUUCUAAAAAAACCAAAACUUGUAUUUCUAUUUCUUCAACCCUUUCCACAUAACCAAGGUCCAAUAUUUGAAAAGGAAAAAGAAAAGUAGGUAUUCAAAAUUAAAAGAUGUGGGAAUUAAAACAGCCGUAAUUAGCAUAUGCAAGGUUUUUGUUUUUAAUCAGUAUGUUGUUUCUUUAAACACUUAUUAUUACGAUUAUGUAAUAAAUUUAAGACUUAUUAGAGAAAUGUUGUUGUUAGGUUUUUGGCGAUUCCAACAUAUAUAUCGUAGUUUUUUUAAAAAAGAAAUAGAAAAGAAAAAGGAACUAAGGAAGGGGAUGGAAAAACCUAAAUCGGAGGUAUGGUGAUGGGGAACGGUAAGGGAAGUCGGAAUCCAUUUCCGGCAACGAAAAGUAAUUAAGGAAAGAAAAUUCCAUAAAUUAUUAGCAGAAUCAAUAAUGGGAAAAAUAUAAAGGUAUGCUUGGAUGCAGGAAUGAUUUAUGGUGGACUACUCACUCAAAAUUAUUCCUUUGUUCCUUCCUUUAUUUAUUUUGAUGCACCACCACAUUUUCAAAUUACCACCAUGCAUGAAGAUAUAUAUAUUAUAUAUAUAUAUAUAUGAGCCAUGAAUAUUUUUUAAAUAUUAAUAUUAGAAAUAUAGAAGAAAACGAAAACCUAAGUUAAUAUUUUGUGUAAAUUUGGUAGUGAGGGUGAAAGUGGGAAGAUAAGAAUAGGGAACAAAUGAAUCAGCCACACCCAUAAUGAAGAUGGUACCCAACUUGGAAAUCUGAGUAUCUUUGAACGAACAGUAUUUUGGUAUCUCUUUUUUUUUAUAAAGAUACUUUGAGAUAGCUGAUGCAAGGCCACAUGGGAACAUAUCAAUGCAUCAACUAUAGCCCCACUUCAUUAAUAAUAAAAGGUGAUUACAAGAAGCGGGGAAUAGAAAGGUUAGAGGGCAGCCCGAUUAUCCCAAAACGAAAGCAUGUAAAUUUAAAGCAAUAGAACUGGACGGGUAAUUUUUGAAAAGAGAAGAACGACUCGACCAUAGACCAGUUAUAGCUUGAAUGUCUUCCCAUACAGAAACAUCUGAUUUCUCUUCUCCCUUAAAAGUCCUUAUGUUUCUUUCAUUCCAGAUAUUCCACAGGGUAGCAGCCACCAGAUGUUGUUCAAUGGUUUGUCUUUUUUAUUUACCUUUAGUUUUGAAAGGUUGUUUGCAUAAAACAGUAGAAUCUAUAUGGGGGAGAAGUUUGUCUAGUACCUCUUCAACUUUUUUCCACAGGUUUUUUUUGUGAAGGGGAAGAGGGAGAAUAAAUGAAUACUAUGUCAUUCACCAUUUUCUAAUGUCAUACUUUUAAUGGUAAAUACUUAGACGUUUCAUGAAAUUUAUUUAUGAUUUAUCUAUGUACGUUUACUAAUUGGAUGUUUAAUUACAAUAUUUUUACCAAUGACGAGAUUCUUCAUCUUUUUAGUUUUUCUUAUUCCUUGAUGAUUGUAGGAUGCAUUCAAGAUCCAUCCAAUUUCAUUUUUAGAUUUUUGAAAUUGUUAAAAUAAUUUUUGUCAUAUUAAAAAAUAAUUUAAAUAUAUUUUAGUAAUUUUUCUAUCGUUUUGUUUCAUAGCAAAUAUAAUUUAAAUUCAAAUUCGGUAGAAAUAAGAGAAAGAUGUGAAAAAAUGGUACAUUUUUGCAAUACGACAACGCACUCUUUCAACUAAACUAUAUAUGCUCGAUUUGACUAGUAUUAUUGCAUUGAAAUCGACACAAAAUGGGUAGAAAAUAAGUGGGUAUUAUAAUACCAAAGCAUCAAAUAUGCAAAGCCACCACUGUGAAACUCUUAAAGCCUAAAAGAUAAAACGCAAAUUGCCAAAAGCAUCUUCCAUCCUUUACCUUGUUGGAAAAUUCAUUAAGUACUUAUUAAUUAAUUGCGAUAACAAAGGAAUAAUUGAAUUGUGAAUUUGUCACUCUUUAAUCACUUUCUGGAUUUGGGUGAUCAAGUUUAACUUUAUUAACUUUCAAUUUUUAGGAAUUGAAUUCUAGACUCUAGUGAGUAUUAAUACACGUUUAAAUUGGUAUUAAAUUUGUUUUUAAUGUUAUAUGUGUUUUAGUCUCCUUUAAAUAUCUCUACCUUGUUAAGAUAUAUACAUUUCCUCUGCCUCCUUGUUAAAAGAAAAUUGGUAUAAAACAAAGAUUUCCAAAAACCAACAAAUAAAUCAAAAUCUCAAAAGGGCAAAAAAAAGAGUAAAAGCCAGAGUCUUGUCAAAUUAAUUAUAAGAAUCCUCAUAGCUAGCUUUAACUGCAAGUUCUAGAAACAAAAUGAAUAAAUUUAAUCGAUAUCAUUCUUUUAAUAAAUGUUUCAAAGUACGUAAAUAAAACUACACAUAGUUAGAUAGUUAUUAAUUAUUUGACAAGGUGUAACAGAUAAUACCCUAUAAACAACGAUCCAUUUUUGACAAUUUUUUAUUGCAACCCAAACUUUAUCUAAAAGUUUUUCAUGCAACAAUAUAUCAUGACUAACUUUACAAGACCAAUAAGGUUUUACAUCCAAAGAAAAGAAAAUGUAAUAGAUAAGUAAGGAUAGUUAUUAAAUUUUUUUUUAUGCAUGAAAACUUUCUGAACUGAUAAUGAAAUCAGAAGAAUAUUGACUACUUUCAAGACACGUAUUCGAUUCUUCACGUGAGCUUCGUAAAGUUGAUGUUAAACGUUUUGGCAGUAUCCUCUUUUUUCUUCUUUUUCCAUUUUAUUAUUUUUAUAUAAAGAAAAAUGAAAUUCUCCUUUCUAAAAAUUCAGAAAAUACCUCAUAAAAAAAAAAUAGUAAAAUGUAAUAUUUUAAUUCUAAGAAAAGAUUCCAUAUAUCAUUAUGAUACCAAUAUGAUUACAAAGAAAGUGGGAGAAUUCUACUAUAAAUACCCCACGAUCCAUACAUCGAUAAACACCAAGCAAACCAUAAAAAAAAUACGAACAUUUUGCUCCAACACUAAACCGUAUCAUUUCUAAGAAAAUGUCUCGUGCAGCAACCAGGCUACAGCUCUCCAGGGAGGAUAUAAAGGAGAUUUUUAGAGAGCACGACAUCGAUGGAGAUGGUCGAUUGAGCAUGAACGAGAUGGUGAAGGCCUUCGGGUGCUUUGGCAGUAUUCUUCCUUUCUACAAAGCACACUACGGAAUGGCUCAUGCUGAUGAGAAUGGCGAUGGCUUCAUCGAAGAGGAGGAGCUCGACAAGCUUGUCGACUAUGCCCAGAAGUUUCAGCACAAGAGAAAGUGCUGAGGUUAAUUAUAUGUAAUUUUCCUCAGUCUGCUGGUCAUAAUGUCAUUAACACUUUCAGUUUACAUGCACUACUUUAAAUAUUAUACUCUCAUGUUUAGAAGUUUUAAUGUGUUGUUGUAUAAAUAAAGAAAAGAAAAAGAAGGGCUAGGCUACGUAGCUAAAAUUCCUGCUUUGCCUUAGCUAUCAAAAGGGGAGACGUUGUCUUUGUGUUUCAAAAAAUAAAAUAAAUAAAAAAUAAAAUCAUAUUGAGAUAGUUUAUCUCAUUAUUAUCAUAUUUGUAAGUUGUGCGUUUUUUACAAAGAAAUUGGAGGAAAAUGAUCAACAUAAGUGCAUCCAAAUAUCUCAAUAGAUUGUGUUUACUACUUUUAAAGAUUUUUCUAUAAAAAAAGAAAAGAAAGUAAAACAUCAAUCUAGCUAAAUCCUUUUGAAUACUUCGACAUCUAUUUAUCUCUUUACUCUAUUAGUGUUUUCUUUUUCUUUUUAAAAAACUAGUCUUAAUAUUAUUUAAUGUUACUGUAUAUAUCAUAUAUCGCAUUUUAUAUAAAAUUGAAUGGUAUAUUUAAUUUUUAAAUUAAAAAAUUCAAUAUUGUACGAUCAUGUAUUCAAUACAUGAUUACAAUACCUUUGUUUUCAAAGCACCUUGGUUCUUGAAAAAUCAGAACUCUAUGAUUCUUCUUAACCAAAUCGGUUAUGGUGAUUGCCCUAAUUUUGCAUUCUAAGGGCUCAUUUUGGGAAGCUUGUCUAAAAGUUACAAUAGCAUAUUCAGAGCGUCGUAUCACACUUUAAUUCUCUGUAGGACAUGUGUUUCGAUGAAACUCUAAAAAAAGGUUUAAACAAAAAUAAAGUGUUUUAUUGAAAAAUACAUUUUUUUUAAAAAAAAUUCAAUCUAACUAACCCUUAAAUUUUAUUUAAAUUUCUAAACUUUUGUCUCGCUAUUUUGGAAAUUUUAUGAAGUUUACGUUUGGAUAACCUUUAGAAGUAAGACUUUAUUUUAGUGUGCAAUUGUUUUAAACUGAGUUUAAAAUUUGAUUAUUAAGGAUGUGUUCUCGACGAAGAAUUUUGGAAUAUAUGGGCAUAUGGAUGGAAGAAAACUAAAGCCCCUUGGAUGACGAUAAACGUAGGAGGAAUAUAAAUUUACAACCCAUCAUACUUUUUUUUUCCUAUGAUGAACCAUAGUCAAUCCACCUUUUACAAUUAUAUUUUUAAAGGCUCAUCUUGGUCACCAUCUUACUUUUAUUGGUUUGUUCUCAAAUUAUAUUAGUUUUUACAGUAACAUUUUAUUAAAUCACUUAUGUAUCUUUUUCAAAAAAAAAAAUAAAAAAAAAUCACUGAUUAAUUAAUAAAAAACUUAGGCUAAAUGUUGAUAGAACGUAUAUUUUUAGUACUUUAUGUUAGUUCAGGUACUUAGUAGUUCAAAGUUGUUUAUUUAUACAUUUUUUUUAAGAAAGCAAUUGUUUCUUAAAUACGAUAAGAACAUAUGAAAACACAAUGCCUAUCAGAAAUUAUUAAGUAAAAAAUUAAGAUUUUUAAUUAACCAACGUAGGUUUUUUCUAGGUCUACAAACAUGACAGCUUAAAGAAGAUGGACAGCAACUUAAAAUUAAAAUUAAAAUAAUAAUAAAAGAAAUUCCUCAACUUUGUCCUUUAUUUUAAAAAUAUUUUUAUUCUUUCGAAAGGUAGAAUAUUAUCUUUGACUUUGAACAUUACAAAACUGUUCUUUAGAAAUAUAUGUGUUAAAAUAUCUUAUUGAAGUUAGAACCUGAAAUAGUAUAUGUUGAUGACUGAGAAUGAUGCGGCAGUAUUAUCUUUGAGGAUGGCCUAAUUAAACAUUGUUUUUAUCACUUUUUGCAUUAUGCUCAACAUUUUACUAACAUUUCUUAUCUCUGAAGUAUAUAUUUUUUUACAGAAAAAAAAAUAAUGUUACGUAUGUACAUGUUAAUCUUUCUUCGUUUUCUUUAUAAGAAACCAGAAGGCACAAAACACACAAAACACAAUUACAAAAACUUUCUAUAGCUGAAAGAUGAAAUGGGAAUAUGAUUCCAGUGAAGAAAUUUAGAGAUAAUACGACUUUUGAUAAUGCAUUAUAAAUACCAUUCGCUUUCACUACUUGAUGAUACAUAUCAAACAAAAUCUUAAAGCCACGUCUAACUAAAACCCUAAAGCCAACCACAAGAAUGGAAGAAAAAAGUCUUUUUGUUGCACUCCAAAAGCCUCUGUCAGAGAAGGAAGCAAACCUUCUGCUCGAGAUGCGCGAUGCCAACGGCGAUGGAGUUCUCGAUAAGCAGGAACUGAUGGCUGACUUGACACACACUAACAAAAAACCCUCCACAAGCUUACAAGACAUGAAACUCACAAGGGAAGAGAUCAAAGAAAUUUUUGUAGGUUUCGACAUCGAUGGCGAUGGUUUUCUAAGUAAGAAUGAGGUAAUACAGGCCUUCGGUAUGAUGGGUUCAUGCUCCCCGAUUAUGAAAGCUCACUACGCCAUGGCUUGUGCUGAUGAAGAUGGCGACGGUCGCAUUAGCGAGCCUGAACUUAAUAAACUCAUUGAUUAUGUUCAGAGAACCAUUAACAGGAGGAGGUUAAAUUAAUUAGCUAUGAGACAUAUUCAUAUGUAUGUAUGUACUGCUACAUAAUAAAUUUAAAGUUUCAAAAUAACUUUUGAAUUUAAUGUGGGUGGAGGAUUGAACUCAAAUUAAAACUAUUAGAUUAUUGGCAGGUUAAAAAUAGCUUCUAGAUCCUAAACCUUUCUAAAAGAAAUAAUUGAGUUAUAUAAAUGAAAAUAUAGUUUGAGACAAUUUAUUAGUUUGGUGUACUUUUGAAUUUGAAGCAAUUUGGUUCCCUAUACUUAUAUUUGUAAUAAUUUAUGAAAGAAGAGUUGUUGAUAUCCACUUUCCCUUCCUUUCAGCUCCCUCUCUUUUUCCCUUUUGGCACCAUCACCACAGUUCACAUUAGAGCAUUCACCAAUCGUUCACCCGUUGGAAGCGAUCAUGCGCCAUUCGUCCUCAUUUAUCAGCCGUUUUUCAUCACCGUCAACUUUCGUAGGCCACUUAUUGUUGGAUAGAAAAUUAUUGCGAAUAUCACGUGACUAUAAGAAUAUAUUGAUUAUAGUAGUUUAUCGCUAAUAAAUUUCGUUAUAUUUAUCAAAUUUUUGUAGAAUAUUGUCGUACACUUAAAGUCCCAAAGUUGCUGGGCUGCUGCUUUGUUAUGGCCCAAGUGGGAAUAAGGGUUUGAUCCGAUCUGAAUUUUGGUGGCAGGUAUAAAGGAGGGAGAAGAAUAGGAAACAUGGAGGAAUUGCACAUGGGUGAUGUAAAUUCAAUAAUCCUAAUUUCAAUUGUAUAUCCUUUGAUUUUUUGAAAUCAGAAUUGAAAAUCUCUCUCUAAACUCUGCUCUUUCCAUUAUGAUUUUUGGAAUAAAAUUACGAACAACUCAAACAUGGAAAUAGAGGAAAGGCCAUGAUGUACGUGGUUGGGUUAAAUGAACCCUAACCAUAAGUGGAAGAUUUAUUCUUUUGAAGGCUACAAGAAGAUAUAUGGUUUAUUUAUUUCAUUUUUUUUUUUUUAAUUUUACAGCAAUGAUCUAUUUGUGUAUGGGUAUUAUCUGUUGCAAUGAAACUCUUAGGAAAAAUAAAGCCGUUGGAAUCAAAUUAAAUAUUCUUCACCAUGUAUACAAAGUGAAGACAUUUUACCACGGGUGACACAUACAAUAUUGCAGAAAACCAAAGUACAACAACAAACAACAUACAUGGCUCCAUUGUAGAGCAUAAACCAUAUUGACCCAAAACCAUACGAGCAAACACAUAGACAUAAAUAAUACAAAAUAGAUUACUUGGUCGACCGACUUGAUUUAUCAUCCUGCCGUUGCUUUGCAUUAUUAAACCUCAUGACAUGGUCGACGAGUUUCUCCAACUCGUUUUCAUCACAGAAACCAUCACCAUCUUUGUCAGCAAAAGCCAUCCCAUAGAAAGCUUUCUGGAAUGAAUUGAUCAUAAACCCCGUAGAGCUUAGGGCUUGCAUCACCUCUUGAUAUUUUUCUUCUAGUAGUUCAACAAAUCUUGCCUCAUCUUACUCCUUAACUAAAUCAUCUCUCUAACCUUUUCCUAUUUUGGUUUUGAUUUUUGAUUUUACCUUUUUCAACUUGUUAUUUGAAAAUAAGCUAUUAGCUACUCUCAAGCAUUCUCAUUCUCAUUCUCAGUUGAAAAUACAAUGGCUAAAAACUUAACAAAUUUAGGACUACAAGAAGCAAGAUGAUAUUUUAACUUUUUUAAAAAAGAAACAUUUAUUUUUCCAAUUACUAUAUGUCGAAUCCCACUAAAAAUAAUCCAAAGUGAAAGAGAUGAGAUAUAUCUAAUUUCCCCCUCGCAUUAUUAUUCAAGAGUCUCUAUCAAUGCAUGGGAUUAUUCUAGUUGGGUGGAAUUGAAUGUGGCCUUCUACUUCUAGAAUCUAACCUAAUAAUCUUGACUUACUUCCAUUUGGUCCUUACGAAUUCGAUUCCACAUAAUCAGAAGGUGACGACAUCAUAUCCAUAUCUAUCAUCCUUGUUGAUUCUUUUAACAUUAAAUAAAGAAAAUUUGUAAAAAUAGCAAAAUAUAUAUAUAUAUAUGAUAAUAGAGUCCAUGUCAUUUUACAUUUUUAAAAUUACAAAAACAACAAAUUUAAAAAUAGUGAUUACUGUCAUAUUUGCAAAUUUUGCAAUAUGCAAAAAAGAGGUGUUAAUUAGCUGUUUUUUCCUAUUUUUUUAAUCAUUUAAUGCAAUUUUUCUUAAAUAAAUUAAAAUUUUGUUUAUUUGUCACAUAGUUGGUAGUUUGUUGGUUCAGUUUUACUCUUUGAUUUAAACUAAAAGUGAUUAGACUUUAAAUGGAUAUUUGUUUUAGGAUAAUAAUUGAGUGCAUGUCCAGUAGCACCUAUCUCUAUGGAUACUAUCUUUAUUAUUCACAAAAAAAAAAGAAAUAAAUUAUUGUAAAAAACGCAAACAAAUUGUUAUAUGUCAAACAAUAUGGUUGAACUAUUUGGUGAAAUAUAUACAUGUAAGUAUUAAUUUUGUUAUUUUGAAUUUAUUCAGUAUAGUAUAAUAAAAAGUGUAGAAAAUUCAAAUAGGUAUUUGAUAAUAUACAUACAUAUAUACAUAUAUAUUGUAGAUACCCUAUUUUGUCAUAUAUUUAUUUAUUAUAAAAGAAAAAGGAAAAGAAAAAGAAAUUAAAUUUGAAUUUGAAUUUGAAUUUAUAUUUUAAAAACAAUAAUAAUAAUAAAAUAAAUACAUUUAAAAAUAAAUAAUAAAAAUAAAAAUAAAAGGUUUGUUUCCUUCCUAUUUUUUCUCAAAUAUCCAUUUUUCUUCGUCAUCACUCUCCCACUUUCUCCCACUCUAUCACUUUCUCCCACUCUUCCACUUUCUUCCUAUUUUUCUGUAGUCUGCACUCCAUCUCGUGAUCUAAAAAAACAAUGGACCUUGCCCUAUAAAAAGGAAAGAGAAAAAAAGAAAAGGGAGAAUUUUUUUUUAUUAUUAUUGGAGGAAAAAAGAAAGAAGAUCAAGAGGAGUAACCUUUGGCAUUUAAGGGCAGAAGUUUUUUUUUUUUUCCUAUUUUUAUUCUUGUUUGAUGAUACUGCUUUUAAUUAUGAACUAUCGUGUUCAUCAUUGUUCAUCAUUUUACCGUCAUUUGACAUGUUAAUUUAAUUAUUUGUAUUUUUUUUAAUACUAAGCAUUCUAUCUUCCGUUCUAUAUUAAUUUUUUUUAUUUUUUUAAAUAUUGAGCUGUUCUGUGUUAUUUUUUUUUUUGUUGGGUAUCCAUUGUGUUAAUUUCCUUUUAUUAUUGGGCAUCCACUCUAUGUUAAUUUACUUUUAUUAUUGGGCAUCCACUCUGUGUUAAUUUUCUUUUAUUUAUUGGGCAUCCAUUCUGUGGUGAUUUCCUUUUAUUAUUGGGCAUCCAUUCUGUGUUAAUUAAUUAGCAUCAUGUAUUUGUAUUUGGAUACUCAUUUUUCAUUGGCACCCAUUUUACAGUUAAUUACUUAUAUCCAUAUGACAACAUGCCUUAAUAAUUAUGCAUAAUUAAUCAAUUAACAUCAUGUAUUUGGUAAUACUCAUUCUUCAUUGGCAUCCAUUUUACAGUCUUUGUUAAUUACUUUAUCCAUAUAUCCAUAUGGCAGUACUGCGUUAAUAAUUACUGCUAUCCAUAUAUUAUCAAUGUUAAUAAUUAUCCAUGAUAUAAUUAAUAUUUGGCAACACCCAUUUUUCAUUUGGCCUAUUAAUUAAUUAGCAACUUGUAUGUGACAUUUUCACCCACUCAUUCUAAUUAUUUGCAUGAUGUAUUAAUUAAUCAGUAUGCAUCUGGCUAUAAUUAUUUGAUAUUCAUUUUGGUGUGAUUAUUUAUUUGCAAUAUUAUUUAUUUGCAUAUCGGGUCAAACCUACUUUGGCAUUCAACUGUUAAUUAUUAUUUGAUAUCCAUUUGGCCCUCGUUUAAUUAUGCAUUAAUCAAUUAUUUUGUAUCAUGAAUUAAUCAAUUAUUUUUUGCAUCUUGCAUGUGUUGUAUUAAUUAAUUAUCUUUGCAUGUGUUGUAUUAAUUAAUUAUCUUGCAUCCUACAUUAAUAUCUUUUACAUUUUGCAUAUAUUAUCAAUGUAUUUAUUUUAUCUCAGCAUAUUACACUUAAGUAUUUUUCAAAUUUCAUAAUGUUUUGUCAUUGUUAUUAUUCAUUUUUUUUAUUUAAAUAUAAUAAUGUAAAUUGGAGAAAAAGUAUUGUUUUCUUAUGGAUUUUAUAAUUUAAAAACCAUGAAUACAUGAAAUUUUUCCGUUUGAAAUUUAAUUAAUAGAUUGUUUUUAAAUUAACACAUUUCAUAUUUUAAAUGAGACUGAGUAGUAUUUUCUAUGAAUUUAUUAAUUCUAGAUAUAUGAAUUUUUUCAUUAAACACCUAUGAUAGAGAUUAAAAUAUCAAGUUUUUGGUAUCUUAAUAUUCUUAAGGUGAAUAAAAAUAUUUUAAAACAAAAAUAAACUUAAUUUUUCUAAUGGCUCCUAUGCCACCCAUAAUUAUCAAUUCAUGCUUAGGUUUUACUUUCUUCGAUAUGAAUUGAUAAACAUGAGACAUUUAAACAAAACCUAAAUAAAAACUUUGUUAUGUGAACCCUUAUAUUUAAUUUAAAAGAUAAAAUUGGGUAACCAUUUUGUGGGUGUUGUAGGGUGCUAACACCUUCCCUACACACAACUGACUCCCGAACUUAAAUCUCUGAAUUUACGUAGACCAUUCUUUUUUUUUUUUUUUUGGUGACCAAUCACACCUUAAUAUGAUUGGUGGCGACUCCAAAAUUAUUUAUUAAAAUAAAAUAAACGGGGAGGUCGGCCGCUCCGCGUAGCGAUCACGUCGCGACAUAUAUAUAUAUAUAUAUAUCAAACAGGGCUCAUUUCCUUUCAAAAAGAGUUAUGUAAUGACAUGAAACAUCACAAAUAAAAGUUGGAAAAAGAGGAAUAGAAAAAUUAGAAAAGAAAAGAGAAGGAUUAUCACCUUUUGUAAGAAUAUGGUCCCUUUUGUCCCUUUCGAAAGAAAUGUAGGAACCUAUUUUCCUCAAUUGUUAAAUUUCAAUAUAAAUAAUCAAAAUGAUUGUAAAUUAAAAUAUUUAUAAAUAUAAUAUAAUUAAAUAAUCUCAAAAUUUUCUAUAUAUAUUUUUUAUAAUUAUUUUAGUUUAUUUUAUUAUAUUUGGAAUGUUAUUUUUUCUUCCAUUAUUAAUUUUUUAGGUAAUUAAAGUGAAAGAUUUGAUUCAAGUACUAGUAAUUGCAAGGUUUUUAUUAGCACCCAUCGCUGGAAUUGUUUAAAUAUAAAAUUUAUAUGUGAAAGGAUUAAUUAAAGAAUAAACUAGUUUAGGGUAAUUGACUCACGGAGUGAUCUUCAUCCUACGUAUAAUAGUGGUGUUUGAGCAACAAUGUUGCUAGCUAGCUAGCUUGUGAUCUCUAUCUAUGUCUUCAUAUAACAUUAAUACUUCUAUUGAUCUCAAUUUUCCUCUAUGCUUCUAUCCGUUUAAUUAAACCAAUCUUCGUGUUAGUUUAGAAUAAUCAUAAGUUUUGAAUUAAUUAAUUUUUAGUGAUGACUUUGUUUCUCCACCCCUCACAAAGUUGAACUAAAAAAAUUGAUUAAUAACCGGGGUUAUCAGUCCUUUAUUUUCUUCAAAAUAAUAUUUACUUAUAUUACCCUAAUGUUUAAAAUUAUAUCCUGAAAACCAUGUGAAUAACACUUAAAAGAACAAAAAGGCAUUGUUUGAAAAAAAUUAUUUAAAAUAUAGAAUCUUUUGAUUUUCAAAAGCAAAGAUUCAGUAAAGAACAACUUUGGAGAUCACUAUCUUUUAGAUGUGAUGUGUGGAAUAAUCGUCCCUGAAGUGGGAGUGAUACAGAUGAUAUACAAAAGAAAAUAUCAGAAAGCACUAACAAUUAAUGAUGUCUUUAAUACUCUUCUAGUGAAUCUAAUUUAUUUCCAAGGACUCUACCAUAUGUGAGGAAUAUUUGACUGCAUCCAUUUUUACGAAGUCUACUUAAUUGUAACUUGUCCUAUGAUAAAUAUUAGUAUUACACAAUCCACAAUCAAUUAGGCCUAGUACUUGGGAAGUUCUCCAAAGAGCAUAUACAGUAGCAAAGUAUUUGAUGGAUGAUAAAUAGAAAUAGGUUAGAUUUUUUUUCUAGGGUUUGCAAUUGAAGAGUUAAUUUCUUUGAGGAACAAUAUUCACAAAGCAAGAGGGAUCAAGAGAUACAUUAAGACAUCUAAACUAAAUUGACACAUCUCUAACACUUUCAACAAAUUCUAUAACUGAAAGAUGUAUUAAUUACAAUGAGAGAGAACAUAAUGAAAGCCAGAAGGAAGCUUGGGACAGUACAUAGAGUUAGAGCUAUACAAGACGAAGGCUUCCAAUUUAGGAAAAUUUUGACAAGGAUAACAGUAUAUCUAAUUUUUAAUAGGAAUGUAAAUUUGAAAACUUGCAUACCCCUAAUAAUCUGUAGAUACAAAUUUAAGUACUUUUAAAAUUUAAUUUUAUGAAUCAAUUAUACAUUAAACUGCAGAGAGCCAUACUAAACACUUUUCAAAACCGUUACCCAGUGAAAUAAUUAAUUCCAAGAACCAUAAUAAUUAAAUAUGGAGUAAUUUUGUAUAAUAAUCAAGUUGAUGAUUGAUUUGUUGUGAAAUAUUUAUGCUCUUGUCUUGUCAUUUCAAAGUACUGUAGCUUUAAGUGGAUGGUUCUUUUUCCCUCCGAUGCAAAUUCCAAAUUCCAAAUCAACUCCAAAUAUCAUAAAUUUAUUCUUCGACAAAUAAAGAAAGAGUACUAUAUAUGAUCAUAAAAUUAUUUGAAUUGGAAUCAUUCAAAUUGUUUGUACUAUAUAUGAUCAUAACACAGUUUUUUUGCAUAGGCUACACUCAUCUCUACCUUAUUAUUAGAAGGUAACCUGGUUAUCAUUGAGCAUGUGAAAGGUAAAUAAUGUAUUUAAUAUAAAAAUCAAGAUCUCUCUAAUUUUUCUUCGACGUGAUAUUCUUUAACCCUAGUUAGUGGGGUACGCUAAGAAAAUGUAGUAUAAAUACACAAAACCACGACCACCAAAGCUCACAAAACAAAACCCCCAUUCCUCCUGAACCUCCUUCUCCAAAGAAAAAAGAAUGGCGUUCCGUUCAGUGAACAAUCUUCAAUUCUGGAAGGAUGACAUGAGGAGAGCUUACAGAGAGAAAGUUGGGAGUUCAAGAAGAAGGCGUAUCAAAAUCCGCGACAUCAUCGACGUCUUAGAAAUCGUCGGACCCAUCAUCCCUCAUUUCUUCGGUAGUAACUCUCUCAGUGCCGGUCCCGACAACUACAGUAAUUAUGGUAAUAACCACAUGAAUGGUAGUUAUGGUCGUCGUGACGAUGACAUGCAUUCUUUCCACUGUGGCGGCGGCGGUGGUGGCCGGUUCGGUCUUGACAUGGGUUCUGGUGAUUAUGGGAAUGAAAGCAGGCACUACGGUGGACGUGGAAAUGGUAACAGUCAGUACGGGAUGAGGAUGGCUCUUGCUGAAGACUAUUAUGAUCGUGAAAUCACCGAGGAAGAGUUUGAGAGGCUUCUUGACUUUGCUGAGCAGAGUCAUAACAAUAAUUCCAGAAUGUACUGAUCAAAAUAUAAUAUAAAAAUUAUAUGUGUGGGACAAAAUAUAAUAAUAUCAACCCCUUCCUUCUUGUAAUCUACACCACUUCUACUCUAUUAUCCUUCUAAUAAAAUUUAAAAAAGUAAUAAUGGACUGCCUUGCUACUCCUUUUUCUUUCUUUUUCAUAAUAAAAAAAAAGUUACUUGAGGUUUUUCUUUCGAUAAAAAUGUUAGAAAUUAAAAAUUUGCAAGUGUUAAGUAAUAUAGGAUUUAUAAUGGCAGUGAAUAUUAUUAGAUAAUAUGAUUAUAUGAAAUUGGUUUUAAGUUUAUCUUAAAUUUAAUUUAGCAUUGUAUUAACUUCAACUAAUUUAGAUUUAUUGAACUUAAUUAAAUUUGAAAGACUAAUUUAAAUUUAAAAACCGUUAGCAAAUAUAAUAAUUAAAUUUAAAGCAAUAGAAUUUAUCACACUUGCCUAUAUUUACAAUUUACCAUUAUUUACCAUUUCUUUUUAAUUAUUAUUUCUAAAAUAUUUUUAUAAUAGUUAUCCUAAAAUUUAUAUAAUAGAUGUCAUUGAAAAUUCAUCUAAAAAAAUUUAUACACCCAGAAGAGUUCGGCCCAUUGAUUGAAGCAGCCUUCUUCCGAUCAUGUUUAAUUUUAUCACUCUUUUCGCCUAAUUAUAUAAGCAUUUCGUAUGAGGAUGAGGGAAAGACAUUAUUCAUUAAAAGCACCUGCAUCAUAUUAGGGAGAGAGUAAAGUUAUUUUUCGUUUUUAAAGAAAUAAAAGUCUUUUUUUUUUCUGUUGAGGUGUCAAUUAGAGAUUUCAUAUCACUUGUAGAAUACGAUGAGGAUGCUAAAAAUGUAUUAAUGUAGUUGAGAGAUGAUUUGGAUGCUUCUGGUGAUUCUAUCAUUUAGUGUCUUUGUUGAAAAAUAUAUGAGGAUUUUAACUUCUUAACGUUAAACUAGAAAAAUAUCCUUAAAUACUAUGGACUAAGAGAGAGGGUCAAUGGGCUUUUACAUGCCAAAUAUACAAACAUGAGAGAACUAAAUAACAUAAAAAGAAAAAGGAAACCGAGGAUAUAUAUAUAUAUAUAUAUAUACGUGAGGACUAUGAACACCGAUGAACAACCUUUGAUUUUCCAGCCACGGUGUAUACUGUAUAACUUGUUUUGUUGUUAUGUAUUAGACUUAUUUAUUUUUCAAAAUAUUUAUGUAUAAUUGCUUUUAAGAGAAAUGUAGUUGAGAAAUGUAUAAUUAUUUUUGAAAAUAUAUAUAUUCAAACAAGUGAUUUGAUAUAUAUAACAGACGAUGCUUUUAGGAAACUUUAGCAAAGUUUAUUGCAUAAAAGAAAAUAGAGUAUUUUUAUAGCAUCUCUAUCACUUCAGAAUAAAAUAUGACAGCAUGAUCUUCCGCGUGGUUUAAUUUACAAUUUGGAUCAACAUUGAAACUUCAAGUUUCGUAAGAUUGUAGGCAAGGGGUUACGACUUGAUCAUAUUUUAAUUUAACAGUAUUGGUGGAUCUCAUGAAGUUUUGAAAAUGUCAACACACGCUGUAUUAUUUCCUUAAUUAAAUGCAUUUAAUUAACACAUUUCAUUAAGUUUUGAAAAUGUCAAACAAUAUUCUUUCAAUUCAUAUUAGCUCAAAAACUUCACAAUCACACUUAGUGAGUUUUCUAAAAUAGCUUGAAUUCGUUAAUUAAAUAAAGGGAAAUUAUCAAACCAGAUUAAACUUUUUUAUGUCAACAGAGUGAUUUAAGAUAGAGCAUGUAGUUUAGGGCUGUUUAAAAAUAUAUAUUUAUUAACUUCUUUGGUACUUAAAAUUUAAAAACAAUUAUUUAACUCAAACGGGUUGUUUUAUUUAAUGUUUUAUUAUACUUCACAUUUUUUUUUUUUAUUUGCCAAUUCAGUUGAUUUUUUUUAUUCUAAUUAAGUGGCAGGGCCUCUUUAUAAACCUUAUUAAAAGGACUGAUACUAGAAUUUACUUUUUGAAAAAAAUACGUUGGAUCAGUAGGUGCACUCGGACAUUUCUAUAGAUAGACACCCGCUUAGCAUCCAGACACUCCACUAUGUGCAUCUAGACAAAAUACUAAGACCAAAAUUAGACAUAUAUCAAAGUGGAAUCAAGAAAUAAACCAUUAUAUUCUUGGAUUAUUAUAGUUUGAUUAAAAUAAUUUAUUUUUGUGGUGUAGAUUAUUUUAGUUUGAGAUAUAAUAGUAUGUGUUCAAUAUAGACUAUUUUAGUUUGAUAAGAAGUAAAUAGUAAACAGUAAAAAAAAAUGAUAAAUAGUAAAAUAGUAAAAAAUGUAGUAAUUAAACAAAAAAAUAUUUUAACAAAUUGAAAAUUUGAAAUAACGUUUACCAUAACUAAUUGAAAACUCUUAAAUACUAUUUAGUGGAAGAAAAAAGGUAGCAUGUUUGGUGCAUUCAAACAAACUCAAACCAAAUAUCUCUCCAAUCAAUUUUCGUACAAUUCUCUCUCCUUUUCUCUUACUCUUCUCUACCUCGUAGAAUCAAGAGAAAUUGUAUUAGAUGACAAGAAUAUUUAAAAAAAGACAAUAACUGACACUUUUUUUCUUUUGUAUAUUAUGAAUAUGACAAAUAUGAUUGGUAAUUAGUGAUACUAGAUAAUUAUCAAUUUUCAAAAUUUAUUAUUCUAAUUUAGAAAAUAUAGUGAAACGAAUUCUAUAAUUAUAAUUAUAUAUAUAUAUAUAUAUAUUUUGUUAUUUUUUUUGGAAGGAUUCCUAAAAUUAAAUAUAAUAUUCUCUCUCCAAUAUUCUCUCCCUUUAUUAAAUACUAACAUGUGUCCUGCAUGUUAAUUUUUUUAAUUACAAUUAUUUCCCAUCUAAGUAAACAUAUAUUAUUUAUAUUUUAUUGGCUUUUUUAAAAAAAAUUAAUUAUUCUUAAAAUAUAAAUAAAAAGGAGACAUCACCAACACUUAUUUUUACAUUGACAUAAAAUAAAUAAUUUUUAAUUAAACAUAAUAAAAAUAAAAUGUAAAAUUACACCUAUUUAAAAAAACAUUUUACUUUAUCCAUCAUUUCUCCGAUAUUUAAAGUCACGAUGUCAUAAAACAUAUUAUAUCAAACUAUUUCUAUCAAUUAGACAUAUCAAAGUUUAAGGAAAAUUCUCCUAAAAAUUGGCAAAGUAUUACAAUUUCUCCUAUCCGUGGUAGGAUAUCCUUUGAUAAAAUAUUGCUUUUUUUUAAAAAAAAAAGAUUAUUUUCAAAUCUAUUUAGAGAGUUUCACAUGGUAAAGAUAACAUUUUGUCUCUAAUAGAAAUUCUAGCCAUUGAAGUUGGUGAGUAAGGAGACUUUGGAGGUUUUACUUAGCUACUACAAGAAAUUAAGUUUUCACUCACGUAGAAAAAACGUUAUUAAAAUAUAAAAGAACAUUGUUAAAAAUAUUAAGAACAUCAUACCAUUCGUUGCUAAGAUUGUUGUAAUAUUCUGUAGCUAAAAAUUUCAGCUACACAACAAAUGCACACGCCGCAAAAUGUCUGCUUUUAGUGAUAUUUGUGCAUUACUAAAUACUUUUAGUAACAUAUAUGUUUUGAUACUAUUUAUCUUUUAUAGUGACCUAAAUUAAGUUAAUUUUUUAAGAAAAUUUAAUUUUCAAUCUUUCUUUACAUAGUUUUUACCUCUCUUAAAUAUAAUCUUAGAAGGUAUUUGGAAUGCAAAAAGUGAGUUAUAUAUUAUAUAAUUUUAGGUUAUUAUAAUUUGCUUAGAAUAGUUUAUUUUUUAGACGUAAAUUAUUUUAAAUUGAGUUAUAAUAUUAUGUGUUGAUGUGUAUGCUAUUUUAGUUUUAUAAAAAUGUAGCAAACAAUAAAAAGAUGAACGAAUGUAAAAUAGUAAAAAAUGUAACAAGUAAUUGUUACAUUAACGAAUUGAGAAUUUUCAAAUAAUAUUUAUCAUUCAAUUUUCAAUAGUAUUGUGUGGAGCAAUAAAUAGUUAUUAUAAAGUUUGAUAAUGUUUGCCCCAUAACCACAUUUUUAUGUAUUAAAAAAAACUGAAAUCAAAUAUCUCUCACCUCUUAUCUUCCGAUCUGUUCCAUAAAAUCAAAUAUAAUAUUUUCUCAUUCCUCACUUUCUUUCUCUCUGCAUUCUCUUUUCGUUUAUUAAAUAUUAACAUGUGUCGGGCAUGUUUAAUUUUUUAUUUUUAUUUUUAAUACACCAUAUGAUAGAUAUCGGUUUUUUAAUACACUAUAAAAUAAACUAAUAAACUUGUGGAAUUUUUUACUAAUUAAUUAAUUAUGACUAUUAAUUUUAAUUAACUAUUGAACAUUAUUAAGGGUACAAAGAAAUUAUUAUCAUCAAUUACCAACUCUAUAUAAAGACUCCUUCCACAAAGAAAAACUCAGGCACAAAUAAAUUGUUAUCAUAGAUAUCAGAGGUUGGCCAUUUGGCAAAGUACGCCCGCUCUCGAAUAUAUCAUUGAAAUGGCAACGUCGAGGUCUCAAUUGAAGUUGACUAGGGACGAGGUUAGGGAGAUCUUAGAAGAACAUGAUGUGGACGGUGAUGGUCGCCUGACUAAGCAAGAGGUGAUGCAAGCCCUGAACUCCAUGGGUGUUAUGAUGUCGUUUCAGAAAGCUCACUAUGGUGUUGCUUUUGCUGACAAAGAUGGAGAUGGUGCAGUCGAUCUAGAAGGUGGUGAGAUUGAUUCGCUUGUUGACUAUGUCAUGAGGUUUCAGGCCUCAAAGGACGUCCCUAAAGAUGCCAGCCCAGAAGCCUUGCCAUGAUGGUGAAUCGAAUUGUGUAAUAAUCUUAGCUUAUUUCUAUUUUUUAUGUGUUCAUCUUCGUCGUCGUACCUGUUUUUCAGCCCAUAUUGUUUAUGUUACAAAUUGAGCUAUGGUUAUGCUCAAAUUGACAAUUAUCCACGCAUGUUUGUUGUCUACAAUAUUAUUGUGUCAUCGGUGAUAAAAAUGUCUUUCUUCUUGAAUCUACGGAUUAUUAUAUAAUAAACAUCCCUAAACUAAUAUUAAAAUUGUCAAAUUUUUCUGUUUCAUUAUUUCAUUUCAUGCAAACGUGUGAAUUAUUGUUUUAACUUUACACCGU
RNAcentral lists this long non-coding RNA (27687 nucleotides) under Cucumis sativus (cucumber). RNAcentral's name for it is "long non-coding RNA (CSAT_LNC000723)". Lineage: Eukaryota; Viridiplantae; Streptophyta; Magnoliopsida; Cucurbitales; Cucurbitaceae. The record is from RNAcentral.